This is a long non-coding RNA of Octopus bimaculoides (California two-spot octopus), 928 nucleotides long. NCBI's taxonomy places the organism in Eukaryota, Metazoa, Mollusca, Cephalopoda, Octopoda, Octopodidae. The record is from RefSeq and is a predicted model, not a curated record.
GAACCUGAAACUGAGCACAAAGAGAGCUCAGCCUCAGAUGCACCCCCUGUAUUGAGUCCUCAUGCACCCAGCUCGGAUUUUCACUCCUCAUCUUUUCAAGUCCAAGAUCAUUCACAAAGCAUUGUUUCAUCUGUACCUUCUGAGGCCAAUAUAGGGCAUUGAUGGAGAAAGAAGUUUUAUGAGCUCAACCCAAGAUUAAAUUGUUAAUACAACUAGUAUGAAAUUCGGAUCUUCCAAUAACAAGGUUCAUGAAAUGAUUUUACAACUGAAACCACCACAACUCCUCUUUCUCUUCCUCCUCCUCCUCCUUUCUCUCUUCUCAACACAGCCAUCGUUCACAACAUUUGAGCAGAACUUGAUGUUACAUUUACAUGUCUUCUUGCAACUCACUCAACUCCAAAGAACUUCCUUUCAAUUACCAUAUCAUUUACUGCCAAAUUUUGUGUUUUUUUUUUCUUUAUUAAAAAAACUGUUCAUUUUUCCACAUUCACUAUUAUUACCUCAAACAGACACUUAAUUACUCUCGUUAUCUUUUCUUCUCAACUCUAUUUUACAGUAGUUUUUUCCCUAAUUAAUACAUUUAUCUAUCAUUGCUUUUCCGUCUCUAUUUUUUGCUGUACUGUUUUGAAAAUAAAUCCAGACUUAGUCACAUUACAUGUAUACAAGGCGGCAAUUCUUUGUGAACUGGUUUGAUGUCUGAUAUCAUAGAAAGAUCUUAUACAAUUUUAAAAAUGGUUUGACUGGCCAAAUCUCCAUGCCACCUUACUUCAUUAUUGCACUCAGUUAACUGGAAAAUUUUUAACAUUUUCCUUUCAUUCCUUCAUAUUGUAUUUCAGUCCAAUAUUAUAAUUUCAAAACAAUUUCAUUAAACUGAAACAGCUUUGUACAUAAGUAGCAUUAAGCACGAUAAACUGUUAUUUAUCUCUUA